GAAAUCUUUGCCCGUGACGUCUCCGUGAUAAGAUGACGAAGUUUCUGUCUGUCUGUUUGGCUGUUUGUGGUGAGUUUUCUCCGGUACCAGUCAUGGUGUUUCAACAAAACUGAACUUUAGCGGAGAGGAAACCUCAGCUGUCACGAAUUCAAGUAAAGCAGAAGACGAAGACGUUGAAGUAAAGCACACUAUUAUAGUAUCAACUAAACUGAGGAAUAACAACAGAAGAGGAAUUCACGGUUUUGAGGAUGGUUAGAAAAUUAUUGGUAAAAUUUGACCAUACACUUAAAACCUUAAAGCUCUUGAGGUCUUUGGUAGGC
RNAcentral lists this unclassified non-coding RNA (320 nucleotides) under Bombyx mandarina (wild silkworm). Its description in RNAcentral is "uncharacterized LOC114244874, transcript variant X1". Lineage: Eukaryota; Metazoa; Arthropoda; Insecta; Lepidoptera; Bombycidae. The record is from RNAcentral.